ACAAGCUACUAAGGGCGCACGGUGGAUGCCUUGGCAGAAUCAGGCGAUGAAGGACGUGGCAAGCUGCGAUAAGCUUCGGGGAGCCGCACACAGGCGUUGAUCCGGAGAUUUCCGAAUGGGGAAACCCACAUGAGUAAACCUCAUGUAUGACCCGCUGAAUACAUAGGCGGGCUCAAGCGAACGGGGGGAAGUGAACCAUCUCAGUACCCCCAGGAGAAGAAAGAAACCUCGAUUCCGAGAGUAGUGGCGAGCGAAAUCGGAUGAGCCCAAACCCGUUCCAUUUCGGUGGCACGGGGGUUGUAGGGCCUGCAACAAGUAGAGUUACCAAUCCAGUAGAUAGUCAAAGCCCUUGGAAAGGGGCCCCAUAGAGCGUGACAGGCGCGUAGACGAAAUUUAUCUGGACUCGAAGCAGGUACCUGAGUAAGGCGGGGCACGAGAAACCCUGCUUGAAUCCACGGGGACCAUCCCGUAAGGCUAAAUACUCGAUUCUGACCGAUAGUGAACCAGUACCGUGAGGGAAAGGCGAAAAGCACCCCAUUGAGGGGAGUGAAAAGUACCUGAAACCGUGUGCCUACAAGCAGUGGGAGGACUAUGCCCGUAAGGGAAUGUCUGACCGCGUGCCUAUUGCAUAAUGAGCCGGCUAGUUAUUCUUGUCAGCAAGGUUAAGCGUGAGCGAGCCGCAGCGAAAGCGAGUCUGAAUAGGGCGAUAAGUUGGCAGGAAUAGACGCGAAGCGGGAUGAUCUACCCUUGGCCAGGUUGAAGAUGGGGUAACACCCAUUGGAGGACCGAACCGGUGUUUGUUGAAAAAAGCUCGGAUGAGCUGAGGGUAGGGGUGAAAGGCUAAUCAAAUUCCGUGAUAGCUCGUUCUCUCCGAAAUAGCUUUAGGGCUAGCCUCGGGUGAUUUGCGUUGGUGGUAGAGACAUGAUUGGACUAGGGGGCUUUCCGGCUUACUGAAUCCAGCCAAACUUCGAAUGCCAAUGACAACCAGCCCGGGAGUCAGACUGUGGGGGCUAAGCUUCACAGUCGAGAGGAAAACAGUCCAGACCGCCUGCUAAGGUCCCCAAAUUAUCGUUAAGUGGGAAAGGAAGUCGGAACGCUCAGACAGCCAGGAGGUUGGCUUAGAAGCAGCCAUCCUUUAAAGAAAGCGUAAUAGCUCACUGGUCAAGCGGUCCGGUGCCGACAAUACAACGGGGCUAAAACGAUAUACCGAAGCAGCGGAUGCACACCUAUGGUGUGCGUGGUAGGAGAGCAUUCUCGCGACAAUGAAGGUAGACUGAGAAGACUACUGGAGUUUCGAGAAGAGACCCUGCCGGCAUAAGUAGCGAUAAUCAGUGUGAGAACCACUGACGCCGAAAGUCUAAGGUUUCCUGAGGAAGGUUAAUCCGCUCAGGGUUAGGCGGUCCCUAAGCCGAGGCCGAAAGGCGUAGGCGAUGGAUAUCCGGUUAAUAUUCCGGACCUCCCAAUACCUCGUUAUUACGAUGGGGUGACACAGAAGGAUAAUCAGGCCCUCCUAUGGCUAUGGGGGUUGAUACACGUAAGCUGGAUCCGAUAGGCAAAUCCGUCGGGUCUUAACAGUGAGGUGUAAAACAGUAAGGCGUAUGCCUGAAAGCUGAUGAGUUCACGCUGUCAAGAAAAACCUCUAAGGAGAGGGAUUGGGAACCGUACCACAAACCGACACAGGUAGACGAGGAGAAUAUCCAAAGGCGCUCGAGUGAAGGCUUGUUAAGGAACUCGGCAAAUUAGACCCGUAACUUCGGGAGAAGGGUCGCCACGGUAGGGUUUAUAGCCCGAAGUGGCCGCAGUGAAACGCGUACGGCGACUGUUUAACAAAAACACAGGUCUCUGCAAAGUCUAAAACGACGUAUAGGGGCUGACUCCUGCCCGGUGCUGGAAGGUUAAAAGGAGGGGUUAGCGCAAGCGAAGCUCUGAAUUGAAGCCCCAGUGAACGGCGGCCGUAACUAUAACGGUCCUAAGGUAGCGAAAUUCCUUGUCGGGUAAGUUCCGACCUGCACGAAUGGAGUAACGAUCGUACGACUGUCUUAACGAGUUGCUCGGCGAACUUGUAGUACCGGUGAAGAUGCCGGUUACCCGCAGCUAGACGAAAAGACCCCGUGCACCUUUACUAUACUUUUACUAUGGGUUACGGCAUUUGCUGCGCAGGAUAGGUGGGAGGCUUUGAUACCGGGAUUUCGGUUUCGGUGGAGCCAACGGUGAGAUACCACCCUGCGAAUGUUGUGACUCUAACCUCCUUCCCUUAUCGGGAAGAGGGACAUAGUAAGACGGGUAGUUUGACUGGGGCGGUCGCCUCCUAAAUUGU
RNAcentral lists this ribosomal RNA (2317 nucleotides) under Craterellus lutescens. Its description in RNAcentral is "bacterial LSU rRNA". It matches the Rfam family "Bacterial large subunit ribosomal RNA", at positions 1 to 2298 of the family's 2925-position model. Lineage: Eukaryota; Fungi; Basidiomycota; Agaricomycetes; Cantharellales; Hydnaceae. The record is from RNAcentral.